GGAGAUAGCUCAGAUGGUAUAGUGCUUGCCUUGCAUGCACAAGGUCCUGGGUUAAAUACUCAGUACCA
This 68-nucleotide transfer RNA is filed under the name Marmota monax (woodchuck). RNAcentral's name for it is "tRNA.Ala". Lineage: Eukaryota; Metazoa; Chordata; Mammalia; Rodentia; Sciuridae. The record is from RNAcentral.